This 497-nucleotide ribosomal RNA is filed under the name uncultured bacterium. RNAcentral describes it as "partial 16S ribosomal RNA". It matches the Rfam family "Bacterial small subunit ribosomal RNA", at positions 28 to 507 of the family's 1533-position model. The record is from RNAcentral.
GAUGGACGCUGGCGGCGUGCCUAAUACAUGCAAGUCGAGCGAACAGACGAGGAGCUUGCUCCUUCGACGUUAGCGGCGGACGGGUGAGUAACACGUAGGUAACCUACCUAUAAGACUGGGAUAACUUCGGGAAACCGGAGCUAAUACCGGAUAAUAUUUCGAACCGCAUGGUCCGAUAGUGAAAGAUGGCUUUGCUAUCACUUAUAGAUGGACCUGCGCCGUAUUAGCUAGUUGGUAAGGUAACGGCUUACCAAGGCAACGAUACGUAGCCGACCUGAGAGGGUGAUCGGCCACACUGGAACUGAGACACGGUCCAGACUCCUACGGGAGGCAGCAGUAGGGAAUCUUCCGCAAUGGGCGAAAGCCUGACGGAGCAACGCCGCGUGAGUGAUGAAGGUCUUCGGAUCGUAAAACUCUGUUAUUAGGGAAGAACAAACGUGUAAGUAACUGUGCACGUCUUGACGGUACCUAAUCAGAAAGCCACGGCUAACUACGUG